Molecule: non-coding RNA, 8902 nt
Organism: Peromyscus maniculatus bairdii (prairie deer mouse)
Lineage: Eukaryota; Metazoa; Chordata; Mammalia; Rodentia; Cricetidae
Source: RefSeq, a predicted model, not a curated record
UAAAUCACUCUUGCCCUCUCUCCAGGCCAUACCCCCUGUACCAGGACUGUAACUGCUGUGGCUCUGUGUGUCACUCACUGGACUUUUUGAGGACAGCAAAGAAUCAGUGGCUCCAACAUGUAACUUUGCCUGCGGCUUAUUCCAGAAAGGAACAUGAAUGAAAGCAUUCAGUGGGGGAGGGGUGCGUGAAGCCCCUGCUCCCUGCUCUCCACAGCUCUCCACAUACUCUUCCUGGGGAGACACACUGACCCCUGACACCUGAUGGUGCAACAGCGAACCGGGUUCCAUAACGGGUGUUAGGAGGAGAAAUGUCAGCCAGGCUGGGCCUGCUAGAUGCUCUCUGUGCCUCAUCCUUCUCUGCUCCAGGGACACUGUGGGCACUGUCGUAGUCUGUCACAUGCUGCUCUUCCAGAAUACCACUGCCUGGUCAAUUAUAAACAAGGAAAGUUCAAACUGGCUCACAGUUUUGAGGUCAGGAAGUCCACGGUGGGGAAGCUGUGUCUGGUGAGGGUCUUCUCUCUGGUAUUGUAUGGCAGGAAGACGUGCCAAAACCAGCAAGAAAGGGCUGAGCUCUUUAUUUACAUAACAAAAACUGGAAUUUGGAGGGGACACAGUCAAACCAUAGGCUGGUCCCCCCAGUCUGAUGAGGAAGGAACACCAGACCUACAGGAUGGCUGUAAGUAAAAUAGACUUCAUUUUGUUAAGCCACUGAGACUGUAGGGGUUUCUUAACAUAGCAGUGUCUAAUUGCUCUUGGCUAAACCCGUGAGGCCUGGGGAGAUGGAAAGUGGGCUGGACUGCACAGCAUGUUCGUGUCAGGGCCAGGCCCAAGCGCAUCUUUAUUUUCACAGAUAGACCAGUUUCCACCUCCAGGCAUGUCCUCCUCCUUCACACUUGUUCAGAAACACCAAAUGAGGGGCUGGAGGUUUGGGCUGGGUGGUGAGGAGUGGGUUCUUGCGGAGGACCGAGUUUGUUUCCCUGCCCGCUGCUCGUAGCUGCCUGUAGCUUCAGCUCCCAGGGACCCAAGGUGCUCUUGUAGACUCCGCAAGCAUCUGAACCCACAUGCGCACACAGACCUGCACACACGCCUAAUUAAAAAGGAAAUGAAUUUUUUUAAAAGGUGUUCAAAAAUACAAAAUGUGAAUCCAAGGUAAGUUUUGUUCAAGGCCCCAUUUGAGCCAAUCUGAUCAGGGCUCUCCUGUGAUGACGCCUCUGAAGGCGGCCAACCCGUCCGACGUCCUCUGUCAUUAGAGGAUCAGCCUGUGCGGCUGCGGUCUGGAUCUGAGGCUCCAUCUUCCAUUAAGUGUUAUUAGCCUGAUCCGCAGGCCCCUCCCUGCCUGCCAUUCACCAUUUGCCUGGAUGCCGUGUGGGAACUGGAAGGACAGAGAACCAGUUUUAGAACUAGCACUCGUACCAGGAGACUGAGACCCCACGUGCCGAACCCAGCAAAUGGGGCUCCUUGGUCUCAGCUGCGUAAACCUUGACUCGGUUCUGAAAACAUUUGCUAAGCAGUGUUGCACCAUGGUGGAGCAGAGUGAGAAUAGCCUGGGGGCGUACAAUGGCUGCUGCAUGGUGGAGCUGGUACAGCUCGGUGGAGCUGAUACGGCACGGUGGAGCUGAUACGGCACGGUAGAGCUGGUUCGGCACGGUGGAGCUGGUACGGCACGGUGGAGCUGGUUUGGCACGGUGGAGCUGGUUCGGCACGGUGGAGCUGGUUCGGCACGGCGUCGCAUAACAUGGGUAAACCCAGAGGCCACGUGUGGAAGAUGCAGGAACCAUAGCCUGGCCCUUGUCAGAGGAGGGAGUCUCCACUGGUCAUCUCCCUCUGGUGUCUUCACAACGGCCUCAGCCCGCUGUCUACUCUGUCUGUCUGUACAUCUCUCUCCCUGUGUCUCUGUCCUCCGAGCCAGACUAUUUCUGCUCAGGGAGUAACAGACGCUUACUGUAAGGUCUGAGCUGCUCUUCUUCGAUCACAAUUAUUCAAUUUAAUAGCUGGUUUUUAUCUGCCAGAUGCCGCAUCAGGUACACCGUAGCUGCAGAGGUAAGUGUAAUGUGGCCCCCACCUCAAAGAUGCUGUAGUCCAGCACCCAUUCUGCACCUUAGGGUACUUCUCCCACUGUGCACCUUGGCAGGGGAAUACUCCUUCUGUUUUCUGGCCAUGCAUCACAGUCUCACAAAGGGCCUCUAAAACUCCAGACUCUGCCAGGCAUGGUGGUGCAUGCCUUUAAUCUCAGCACUCAGGAGGAGAGGCAGGUAGAUAUCUGAGGUCCAGGCUAGCCUGGUCUUCAUAGUAAGAAAAUGGUGUAUGAGGGACACAUAUGAGAGCCAAUGCUGGCCACACAGUGCUCCAGUGUUCUGGCAGAGCUGGGCUGGCAUUGCCUCUAGGGAGGAGACCCAGAAGGGAGGCUCUGGGAAGAGUGUCGUAUCCUCCACAGGCUAAGAGUUGUGAAGUGUGAGCUCAGAUGCGUGGCUUUAUCCAGUGUUGGGCUUCUGAGCAGGAAGCCAGACAAACCCAGCCCCAGAGAAGGAAAAUAAACUCUGGACACAUAUUUUUAGAAAGUGGGCAAGCCCUGCAGCUCAGUUCUCUGUGGAACAGAAUCUAAAACCAGUUGGUGUGUCUCCAAGCAGGAAGCCAGGACCCACAGGCUGCGUGCUGGGUGGGGACCUCUGUGGAACACCGGAGGGCAAUACCCUGCCGCAGCCAUCACUCCAGGUCUUGCUUCAGGACCCCAGGUCCAUGAGGGACUUCCCUGCUGUCACCGUGGUGUGGACAAUAGCUGUGAUGAUGAUGGAGGUGUGAGCCAGUCAUGUACUAAGCCUAUGAUCCCACUCAGGCCCUUCGAUGACCCUGAGGACUAAGUAUGGCUCAUCCCGAUCAACCCCCUUGGAGCUCCAAGGGUCAGUCCCAUAGUAAGCAGCCACAGGCUGGGGACUCAGAGGCAGGUGAUCCUCCACGUGGGUGGAAGCCCUUCCCCCUCCGACCAGUCUAACAGCUACCCGGUUCACACCAGCCCUCAGGGCCCUUUUAGACCCUCUCCAUAUUUAGGUUCAAGGUGCUUAGUCCUUUCAAUACCUCUUUCCUCCUCACUAACAUGCUGUAGGAUACUAUGUGAAAUCAGAAAUCCAGGGGCCCAAAAUUUUGAGAUCACAUGGCACGAAUUUGUUUGUUUUUGUAAAGUCUCAUGUAGCCCAGGCUGGCCUCAGAUUCACUAUUUAGCCCAGAAUCACCUUGGACUCCUGAUCCUUCUGCCUCCACCUCCCAAGUGCUGGGAUUGCAGAGGUGUGCCCACACCCCUGGCUGGAUCUCAUUUUCAGAAGUAGUAAAUCAUUCCUAGAAUUAAGACUGUAGGAGGUGGAUGACUGAACUGAGGAAAAAAAAAACUUAAAAGGAAACGGUGAGGUGUUCUUUUUACAAUCUGGCCUAAAGGCACAGAAGGUAGUUAUUGCCAGAAAAAAUGUACAAAAAUAGCAACAAGCUUAUGCAAAGGGUAGAGCCUCCCAAGGCAGGAAACACUAUGUGCUUUGAUGCAGGCACAUCCCAGCAGAAUGGGGUAGACAUGUCAGCAACACCAUUUACAGACACUGGCGGAUUGUCAUUGUCUGUGCCAAGAUGGUUAGAGGACCCGGAGUUUGCACAGUGGGGCUAGAUACCUGGGGUCCAUGCACCUUCUCACCCUUGUCCUCUUGGAACCUGCAGCCCUGGCUAGAGCCCACACUGAGGCCUCCCCAUCUUUCCAGUAACUGCUGUGACUUCUAAGGACUUCAGGGGGCAACUGGGCAACCCAUCUAACUAGUUAGGAGCCCUGUGCAAAGGGCAAUUCUGAGUUUCCAAUCAAGGCCCCGGGGGAAGGGAUGGAAACAGGGAACAAAGACCUUCCCUUGACGUGGUUCUUCCAAAUCAGAGGUCAGAGGCUCCUGCCCUAGCUGCAGGGCCUGGCACACUGCCUUCCUUCUCCCUAAAGACUCAGCUAUGCAGGCUCCAGGCCCUGAUUCAAGAUGACCCAGGCUCAUCUCAUUCAAAAUGAAAAGCGCCCCCUGGUCUGCUGGUACGAGGACCAGAACGCCGAAUCUGGCAGAGAACAGGAAGUGACUCCCCGGAGAUGAGACAAGCUCUGUAGAAAGACACUAGAUGGGAUGCACACACCCUCCCCUUGGUGACCUGGUGAGGUACAGACAGCUCCACACCUAGGAGAAGAGAAGGCUAGGAGGAACCGGCCUGGUCUGGCUUGAGCAUCAAUAGAGGUUUGGGGCGCAGGCAACUGCUGCCCCGGGACCAGGGCAGUGGAAAUAGUGGCCCCAGGAGGACCUGGUGGAGCGGAACCUCUCUGUGAGUGGCCACUGCACACACCCCUCCCCAUGGCAGGCAGUCACAGGACUAAAAAAGGUAUUUAUCACCACUCAAUGCCCACCCUAUGGAAGAGACACAAGGCUUUGCUGAAUAAAAGAAAUGGAUAUAAUUUGGCACCUAGUGGUUUACCUCCCAAGCUUUAGAGAUUAAGAAAACAAGUUUUAAGUCGAGCCUGAUGAUGUAUCCCUAUAACCCAAGCUACUCCAGAGACUGAGGAAGGAGUGUGAGGUCAGCCUAGGCUACAUAGUGAGACCCUGUCUCGAUAAACAACAAACAAACAUCAAAUAAUAUUCUUUAGUUAUGGACUCUCCCACUGACUGUUUGACAAUCAUACACAUUUUAAUUCUACUCUUUGGGAGUGAACUGAGGAUCCAGAUGUGGUGGCACACACCUGCAAUCCCAGCACUCUGGAGGGGCACAGAGGAAAACUGAAAGUUUGAGGAGAGCCCGUGGGUGAUGGUGGCUUGCUGGGGAGCAGUGCUUGCUACUCAAGCAUCAGGAACUGAGUUCAGAUCUCCAGAAUCCACACAAAAAGUCAAACAUGGUUUUAUGUGCCUAAAACACCAGCAGUGGGAAUCAGGGGCCAGAGCGGGGCGGAGUAGACAGAAAGAUUCAUUGGGCUUGCUGGCUAGCCAGUCUAGCUGAAAACAGUAAGCUCCAAGGUCAAUGAGAGAUCCAGAGACCCCCUAUCAAGGGAAUAAGGUGGAUAAGGGUGAUAGGAAAACCAAUACCUUCCUCUGCCACCCCCAGGUGCAUACAAACACAUAUAGUACGUACACACACACACACACACACACACACACACACACACACACACAGGAGUACACUGAAAAAUAACCUUACAGAAAGCCUCAGAAAUAUAUAGAUAUGAACGUAAAAGAAUAUGGCUAAAUUUAUAAUGUAAGCAUUACAGUUUGGAUGGAAAGGUAUCCUGGCAGCCAGGAACCAAGGAAUACCACAAAGUCACACCGCACAACAAACCUCACACAAGAGAUUUAUUGGGAGGGAAAGAAUCAGGAGGAUGGCUGCCUUUGCUUGGGCGAGAAGCAGCAGCAAACUGAACAGGAUACAGGGCUUGUUAUACAGCUUCAUGGGAAGGGGGUGGAACUUUUCAGGGUAGAGAUUGGUGGGAUUUCAUGGCUAGAGAUUGGGCUUUUGACUCUGUAGGGUGGGGGCAGCGUCCAGCAGUUAGGGCAGCUAGAGUAUUUUUGGGUGGAACGUGUCAGUAGGAGGUCCUGGGGGAGGGACCUGGUCUGAAAGGCUUUACACAUAAGACAAGAGAUAAGCAGGAGGUACUCCAGUUGACACAGUGUCCUGGGCUCCACACGCCUUUUUCCAUUCCGCCUCACAAAGCAGAGGCCAUCUUCCCCCAACUGAAAUGCUCACACACCAAACAAGUAGACAACAAACAAAGAAACGAAUGGACAAAGUCUACCUAGUUUUAUGGGCCAGGAAACUGUUGGGCAAUAGAAUGAGAUGGAAGCAGACCAGAUCUUUGAAACUUGCUAUCACAGCAGCCUACAUCCUACAAGCAACCUGAUGUCAGAGGUACCAAGGGCUUUAAUUCAUUUCCCAAAGGCCACAGAGACCUAGAAGCAUCAUCAGUAACAAGGUCAGGCCUCUAGCUGUCUGUAUGCGGCAACACUCAAGGCCGAUAAACUCACCUAAUGAGCACAAAUCAGAGAUGCCAAGGGCUGACGUCAGCCUGAUCGCUCUAGAAGAGCGUACGCAUCCACACACGUGCUUGUGCGCACACACAGGCACACAAGCCAACUCCCUGGCUUAGGGUUUCUUGUUCAUUCAGCCUCACCCUUUGAAAGUAUUUCCAGAAUUUUGGCUAGUGCCCUCGGCAGCUUUGCCGCACACACAUCCUCAGAAGUUAAGAGUUUAUGAAGUGUGACCUGUUUGUCAGGGACUAGGUUCCAUUAGGUUCAGCUUUCAACUGUGAAUUUUCACCCAUGACUACAGCAGGAAGGUUACAGCCUGCCAGCGGGGAUUGGAGUCCUGAACCUAAGAGUGGCUAGUCUAUAGCUUGGAGUUUCCCCUUCCAAAUGCUCCAGAAGCUCCGGAGUAUGGCCCCAGUGAGGAAAUAGAUGGUUCUGAGGGUUUUAAGGUAGGCUUGGGAUUUGAGCCUAUAUUAAACAUACACGAAGACCCCCUCCUAAUCUGCCUUGGUCUAGAUUCCAGGAUACCUUAAAGCAAUGGAGCCUGGGUGAGGACCCAGGGCAGACCACUCAGGGGACUGGUAAGAAACUUCUGAGACACAUGACACUGAGCUGCUCUGCUCCUCGAAGCUGGAGGAUAUCUGGUAGGUCGCACAGACUUUUCUGGAAGUCCUCACUAUGCCUCCUUCCUCCUUUAAUAGUUGCACAACAGAAAGUUCAUGUAGUUCAGAGGACAAGGAGGAAGACUAUAAAGGAAAUAGUUUCUGUUCCUGGGGGGUUGUUGGUGGCUGCCCCCCCCCACCCCUCCCAGGGCAGUCACCAGGAGGGAGUGUUGAGCCUGCUGUCACUGGGGUGAUGGACAGUUCUGAAGUCUUGCUGUCUUGGGAGCCUGAGUCUCAUGAAGAUCACAAACUUGCUUUGUAGCUGAGGAUGACCUUCUUAAACUCAGCUGCCUGCCUCCACCUCCCGAGUGGGGCUAAUGCAGCGCUGUACCACCAUGUCCAGCCGGAAGUCUCAGGAGACAGGACCGCGGAGGACAGUUUUGCUGUAUCCUGAAUCAAGGCACCUUUAAAAGCACUUCAGCUGUCAGUCACAAAGGCUAAUUCCUUCUUUGCUGAAAAGUAUGUGAUGGCUCUAGGGGUCUCCAGAGGCAGAUUCCCAGUGCUGCUUCACCCCCCCCCCUCCCCCGCCACCGCCCUUGGCCUUUGAUGCCCAGGGAAAGCAGGUGGUUCUGGUGAGAAGGGGGUGACUGGGAGGCCAGCAGCUGAACUGGGGUUCCAACUGGGCCUCCAUUUCAAACUCAGUCACAAAGAGCUGCAACAUUCCCAGGACACAGCAGCUUACAGCCCUGGCUUCUCUUUUCUCAGGUAUGUGAAAGCCUGGCUUGUCCGACGAGUAGAUUAGAAAAGGAUAUGGGGAUGUGUCCCCAUACUUUAAAGCCAAGGGGAGAAAGCCUGGUGAAGAGAAGACACAAAACCUGUUUGGUGACUUGUCACUUUAGAGAGAACAGAAACCUCUCCAGGUGAACAUUCACAGCCCCCCCCCCCUUCCUCCUUCCAUCCAGGAGCCUUGGCUGGAGACCAGGGUGAGGACAAGGGACCCAGAGGAGCAAGGCUACUGCUCAUCCAGCCUGCGCCACGAUUGGAUGACACAGGUUUGAGAACACAGUUUAGGGCAAAACUAAGUUUAUUAACCUUGCCAGGUCACGUCAAUCAAGUAGCCAGAGAGAAACAAUGCCUUCAUUGUACAUGUAUCAGCUAGGAAAACAGCUGUGUAGCAGACACACAUUUUUUUUGAUAAGAGCAAAUUGUUGUCAUAUUUAUCUUCUCUUUCUUCCUCUUUAGUACAUAUUAAAGAGCUGAUAUCACCUGCAUAAAAAAAGCUGCCACUAAAUCCUGGGAAAGGUCUGAUCCCCAUGGCCAAAGCCCUGGGGGUUUGGGAAGAAUGUCCUUCUCUUAGGUUUGCUUUGUUUUGAAUUGAUACUAGGGUUUCAUAGGCCUCAUGGAUCAACUCCACCAAGCUCCUCAUGAAAGCGUGCUCCCAAUGGGGUCCUACCCACUAGCAGUGUGUGCAAAGAAGUCUCCGUCAGAAAUCUGCUCCUGCAGCCCUGCCUGUACGCCCCCCCUGAUUGCCGAGGGCUUCAUGAUCAGCCGCUGUGCACAGCAGGGACCUCGGCAUGUCUGCUGGGUAGCAUCCUGUAGUCUGACUCUUCUUUUCUCCUCAUGCAGCGUUACAAGAGGAUGCAACCUUAGGAAGGCUGUGAAGAUCCAAGGUUCGGCCCAUUUUGUGAAGAUGAGCGUGCACACUUGGUAGGGUGUGGGUGUAGAGAGGAGGCAAGAACUGGAGCCGACGUUUCUCUUGGGACUGCUGGGCAGGGCUGUCUGUGGCAGCGAGACUAUAGUUUGGACUUCUGUGUAAAGAACCGUUUAGUAAAGAAAAGGAGAAAUUUUUUUUUUCUGACUUUUACAUAGUAUGAUAGAGUUUCCUAAAAAUAAAGAGCUGUUUAUAAAUGUCACCUGAGGAGAAACUGGGAACUUCGGAUCUACCUUUCCUUUUUAUUACACUCUUGCUUUGAAAUAUGGUCCUUCAACGCUGGGAACUAGACGUCAAUUAAGAAUGUCACAUCAUGUAACUACUACAAGGAAACUAAUGCUUUUCAGCAGACAAGACACACAGCAGGGCCCUCAACACUCACAAAAAUGGGGCUUUAAUCAUUAGGGCUUUGGACACACGAAACAAAGUAACAGUCAAUAUAAUUGUGGAUUAAAUAGAAAGAAAACAUGAAUAAAUAGGAGAAAAAGCAAUAACCUUUAAAAGGAAAUAAUAUAGUGCAUAAUGUAAUACAGUUGUUUAUAGGUAAGAUAAAAGUGUGUUUUUCAAAAAUGUCAUUA